UACGUAGGGUGCAAGCGUUAAUCGGAAUUACUGGGCGUAAAGCGUGCGCAGGCGGUUUUGUAAGUUUGUCGUGAAAGCCCCGGGCUCAACCUGGGAAUGGCGAUGAAGACUGCAAGGCUUGAAUCUGGCAGAGGGGGGUAGAAUUCCACGUGUAGCAGUGAAAUGCGUAGAGAUGUGGAGGAACACCGAUGGCGAAGGCAGCCCCCUGGGUCAAGAUUGACGCUCGUGCACGAAAGCGUGGGGAGCAAACAGG
RNAcentral lists this ribosomal RNA (253 nucleotides) under uncultured bacterium. Its description in RNAcentral is "partial 16S ribosomal RNA". It matches the Rfam family "Bacterial small subunit ribosomal RNA", at positions 524 to 776 of the family's 1533-position model. The record is from RNAcentral.